RNAcentral lists this ribosomal RNA (263 nucleotides) under uncultured bacterium. Its description in RNAcentral is "partial 16S ribosomal RNA". It matches the Rfam family "Bacterial small subunit ribosomal RNA", at positions 88 to 354 of the family's 1533-position model. The record is from RNAcentral.
CCGGCGACCGGCGCACGGGUGAGUAACACGUAUGCAACCUGCCCUCUUCAGGGGACAACCUUCCGAAAGGGAGGCUAAUCCCGCGUAUNUCGGUUUCGGGCAUCCGAGAUCGAGGAAAGAUUCAUCGGAAGAGGAUGGGCAUGCGGCGCAUUAGCUAGACGGCGGGGUAACGCCCACCGUGGCGACGAUGCGUAGGGGUUCUGAGAGGAAGGUCCCCCACACUGGUACUGAGACACGGACCAGACUCCUACGGAAGGCAGCAG